AGCUGAUUUCACACUGUCAAGAAAAGCUUCUAUCGAGUUUAAAGGCGCCCGUACCGUAGACCGACACAGGUGGGUGAGGAGAGUAUCCUAAGGCCAGCGAGAGAACUAUUGUUAAGGAACUCGGCAAGAUGACCCCGUAACUUAGGGAGAAGGGGUGCCUGUCUAUGACAGGCCGCAGAGAAUAGGCCCAAGCGUCUGUUUACCAAAAACACAGGUUUCUGCUAAGUCGUAAGACGAUGUAUAGGAGCUGACGCCUGCCCGGUGCUGGAAGGUUAAGGGGAUCUGUUAGAGCAAUCGAAGCAGUGAACUUAAGCCCCAGUAAACGGCGGCCGUAACGAUAACGGUCUUAAGGUAGCGAAAUUCCUUGUCGGGUAAGUUCCGACCCGCACGAAAGGCGUAACGAUUUGGGCACUGUCUCAACAAUAGACUCGGUGAAAUUGUAAUCCCGGUGAAGAUGCCGGGUACCUGCGACAGGACGGAAAGACCCCAUGGAGCUUUACUGUAGCUUGACGUUGGGUCUUGGUACUACAUGUACAGGAUAGGUGGGAGACUAUGAAGCAUGGACGCCAGUCUGUGUGGAGUCAUCCUUGGGAUACCACCCUUGUAGUACUGGGAUCCUAACCAUAGGCCUUGAAUCAGGUCUUGGAACACCGUCAGGUGGGCAGUUUGACUGGGGCGGUCGCCUCCUAAAAAGUAACGGAGGCGCUCAAAGGUUUCCUCAGCACGGUCGGAAAUCGUGCGAAGAGUGUAAAGGCAAAAGGAAGCUUGAUUGCAAGACAUACAGGUCGAGCAAGGACGAAAGUCGGACUUAGUGAUCCGGUGGUACCGCAUGGAAGGGCCAUCGCUCAACGGAUAAAAGCUACCCUGGGGAUAACAGGCUUAUCUCCCCCAAGAGUCCACAUCGACGGGGAGGUUUGGCACCUCGAUGUCGGCUCAUCACAUCCUGGGGCUGUAGUAGGUCCCAAGGGUUGGGCUGUUCGCCCAUUAAAGUGGUACGCGAGCUGGGUUCAGAACGUCGUGAGACAGUUCGGUCCCUAUCCGUCGCAGGCGUAGGAAAUUUGAGAAGACCUGUCCUUAGUACGAGAGGACCGGGAUGGACGUACCUCUGGUGUACCAGUUGUUCUGCCAAGGGCAUGGCUGGGUAGCUAUGUACGGAAUGGAUAAGCGCUGAAAGCAUCUAAGCGCGAAGCCAACUCCAAGAUAAGAUUUCCCACCGUAAGGGUAAGACCCCAGGAAGACUACCUGGUUGAUAGGUCGAAGGUGUAAGUGCAGUAAUGUAUUUAGCUUAUCGAUACUAAUAGGUCGAGGACUUGACCU
This 1317-nucleotide ribosomal RNA is filed under the name metagenome. RNAcentral describes it as "bacterial LSU rRNA". It matches the Rfam family "Bacterial large subunit ribosomal RNA", at positions 1592 to 2925 of the family's 2925-position model. The record is from RNAcentral.